GGGAGAUAAGAAGAGGGGAGGGGGGAGGGGGAUACUUCAGGGCUGUAGGGGAGAGUGAGUGUAGUAUGAAAGGUGAUUUAACCCAACAGAUAUAGCUUACAGGCACCACCACCACGCAAACACCCAACAGACAGACCGUAUACCAGAGAAGUGUGCCCACCCUCUUAGCCACCAUGCUGCACCCUCUUAUGAUUGGCAUCGUCACCGUGAACACUAGCAUGACGGUCAUCUACUGGGCUUUCCUGUUCGGGGAUUUCUACCUGAGGUGGAUGGCCGAAGCAGACGACAAGCCCAAGGACACAGUCAGCCCUGCAUGAGGAAUACCUUCUGGGACUGAAAAACAAGGCAGCUUUCCUGUAGAACAAAGAAUUGAUUUUAGUGCUUGGCAGUGGACUUUUGUUUUUGGUUUUUCUUGUUUCAUCAAAAUUGGCAAGUUUCUAGUUUGCUAUAGUUUACAGUAUUCUAUGUUUGUACUGAAUGGAAGGAUUUCAGCCAAACAAUGAGGAAGGAGUCACACCAACAGAACUAAGCAGGUGGCAGACGAGGAAGAGAAGGGAGAGAGGGGAGAUACGGAAGAGGAAGAUGAUGAUGAUGAAUAAGAGGAGUCUUCCUUCGAGGGAACAGGGGAAUGGGGGAAUCGUACAAUCAUCCAAAUUUAGUCUUUCAGCUUUUCUCACACUUCACGGCGGCACGCCUGUUACAGGCUAACUACGCCAAGCACCGGACACCUCAGGUCCUGAUCCCAGACUGCGUCCUUGGCCCCAAAACAUUGGAUGACGAGGACGUAGAAGCUGAGGGCGUGGACGUGGGGGAAGAGCACUGCAUUAGCACACACAGACGGGUGGAGAUGGAGGAGGUGGAGGAGCGGGAGGAGAGAGAGGGGCUGCUGCCGGGGUCUCGCCUGCGUGAGGAGGCAGGAGCUAGCCCUGCACCGCGAAGCGCUUUGGCAUGCAGCUCUAGAGAAACAAGGACUUCUGCUCAUAAUGUGGUGUUCUCCUGCCCAGUCCUCCCUCAUGGCACAUCUCUCUAAGUUGUGGGAGGGUUAGGGUGUAGCAAUGGGUCUCUUGUUUGAUUUCACUGGUUCAGAUCUCCACUGCAGGCAUUUGUCAACGCAAAAUGGUAAUGAUCUCACAUAAAGGUUACUUCUGUCUUGUACUGUUGAUGUAGUGUUAAUAUGCUAACAUGAUAUUUAUCAGCCAUUUAGUUUGGUUUGGCUUCCCCUGGCUUGGUACUUAAAAUGCGAGAAUAGAUUCUGGGCAUCGUGCUAAGCAGUAGCACUUGAAGGUAAUUUAACUUGAACCAAUUUUCUAAAUGAGACCUCAUUCUAAUUUAAUUUCACAUUUAUUUUUUCACACCUAUUUUCACACCUUAAAAAGGAAAAGCUGUUUCAAGAAGAAUCCAGUGUUUUAUUUUUUUUCUACUAGAAAACAUUGUAGUUCUGUUUCACAUUAUGUGAGGAAAAAACGUGGUGAUUAUUACCUGUUCGGGUCAAUAAAUGUGAAAUAAGUUGUUGUGAGAGUCAACCAGAAAGGUUAUCAUAUUUAAAUAAAAUAUUGCUGUUAGGUGUCUUUUAAUCAACGUAUCCUGGAAUGUUAUCGAGAUGUCACACAAUGCAUUUCUCCAGUAAAGAAUUGAC
This is a long non-coding RNA of Gadus morhua (Atlantic cod), 1636 nucleotides long. The record is from Ensembl. Lineage: Eukaryota; Metazoa; Chordata; Actinopteri; Gadiformes; Gadidae.